Molecule: long non-coding RNA, 916 nt
Filed under: Cricetulus griseus (Chinese hamster)
Lineage: Eukaryota; Metazoa; Chordata; Mammalia; Rodentia; Cricetidae
Description: lncRNA (ENSCGRG00000024965.1)
Source: RNAcentral
AUGCAGCCGGGGCAACCUCCAUCUGAAUAUCCAUCCUCUGCUGACUCAAGGAUGCUUUUUUAACAAGGUUAAAAGCACCAGGAGGCCCUCAUACUUAGGACUCAGAAUGUAGCAUCCACUGAGAUUGGGGCAGACCAACAACCUCAGUUCACAUGAUCCUUGAGGCCUGUGUUCAUGGGAUUCUCUCCUCUUGCUCUAGACCCCAUCACAAGCCAAAUCCAUUCUAUGAGAAACUGAAGUUGGAACACAAACAGGUCAUGUGGGAACUAAAGAUCUUUGAGAAUGAGAACACCUCAGAAAAGUUCAGUGAGCUGACCAAGGACACAGUCUUCUAUCGUCUGCACAGCCAGCUCCUGAUGGAACAGACUCAUCUGCACAAGAAGGUGGACCUGCUGAAGCAGGAGAAAAAGAAACUGCAGGAGGACUUGGUUCUUCUCAAACACCACUUGAAAGAUUUGAAUGUGAUCUGUAAGGACCAAGAGGAAGAGACCAGUAACCUCAAAACCCAGCAACAACAGGUAGGGUGCAGAUCCACACAACUGCAGCCUGAGCUGGAACAGGACACAGCCCAGCAUGAGAGCCACCUGCAGAAGGAGCUACUACAGCAAGAGCCACCUGCUGAGCCCCAUCCCCAGCAAAUAACUGAUUCCUGAGGAUGCAUUUUCUUCUUCAGAUUUGGUGUUCAUUGUGGAUUGCUGCUAUGGAGCCAUCAUCCCAGUCAACACCAUUCACCAAGAAACAAGUGAAGAAGGAAAUAGAGAGGAUGACCACAGAGCUGCAGCUGAUGACCAGCCAAAGGAAUGAGCUGCGAGAUCGCCUAGUCUCCAUCAGUGAAGGAACUGUGGAUAAUAGGUAUCUAUUGUUUCAGACUCCAGGGAACUGUUCACACUAUCAUCCUCACCCCCUUUUUUUAAGG